CUACGGGGUGCUGCAGCAAGGAAUAUUGCGCAAUGGGCGAAAGCCUGACGCAGCGACGUCGCGUGGGGGAUGACGGUCUUCGGAUUGUAAACCCCUUUUCUCAGGGAAGAAUAAUGACGGUACCUGAGGAAUAAGUCUCGGCUAACUACGUGCCAGCAGCCGCGGUAAUACGUAGGAGGCGAGCGUUAUCCGGAUUUAUUGGGCGUAAAGAGGGCGUAGGCGGUCUUUCAAGUCGGAUGUUAAAUCUCCUGGCUUAACUGGGAGGGUGCAUUCGAUACCGUUGGACUUGAGGGCAGCAGAGGAAAGCGGAAUUCCCGGUGUAGUGGUGAAAUGCGUAGAUAUCGGGAGGAACACCAGUGGCGAAGGCGGCUUUCUGGGCUGCAUCUGACGCUGAGGCCCGAAAGCGUGGGGAGCGAACAGGAUUAGAUACCCCCGUAGUC
RNAcentral lists this ribosomal RNA (440 nucleotides) under uncultured bacterium. RNAcentral's name for it is "partial 16S ribosomal RNA". It matches the Rfam family "Bacterial small subunit ribosomal RNA", at positions 339 to 795 of the family's 1533-position model. The record is from RNAcentral.